AUUGAACGCUGGCGGAAUGCUUUACACAUGCAAGUCGAGCGGCAGCGCGGCCUUCGGGCUGGCGGCGAGCGGCGAACGGGUGAGUAAUGCAUCGGAACAUGCCCAGUCGUGGGGGAUAACACUUCGAAAGAAGUGCUAAUACCGCAUACGUCCUGAGGGGGAAAGCGGGGGAUCGCAAGACCUCGCGCGAUUGGAGUGGCCGAUGUCAGAUUAGCUAGUUGGUGGGGUAAAGGCCUACCAAGGCGACGAUCUGUAGCUGGUCUGAGAGGAUGGUCAGCCACACUGGGACUGAGACACGGCCCAGACUCCUACGGGAGGCAGCAGUGGGGAAUUUUGGACAAUGGGGGCAACCCUGAUCCAGCCAUUCCGCGUGAGUGAAGAAGGCCUUCGGGUUGUAAAGCUCUUUCGGCAGGAACGAAACGGUGGGCUCUAACAUAGUCCGCUAAUGACGGUACCUGAAGAAGAAGCACCGGCUAACUACGUG
Molecule: ribosomal RNA, 484 nt
Filed under: uncultured bacterium
Lineage: Bacteria
Description: partial 16S ribosomal RNA
Rfam family: Bacterial small subunit ribosomal RNA
Source: RNAcentral